Cyprinus carpio (common carp) is the source of this 1300-nucleotide long non-coding RNA. RefSeq lists it as uncharacterized. The record is from RefSeq and is a predicted model, not a curated record. The transcript is spliced from 3 exons. Lineage: Eukaryota; Metazoa; Chordata; Actinopteri; Cypriniformes; Cyprinidae.
CUGCUGUAUACCUUGGUGUUCUUUGAUAAUAGCCAACCAAACAUUGAAAAUAUUUCUAGAACAGUGGUUCCCGACCACGUUCAUGGAGGCCCUGCCAACACUGCACAUUUUGCAUGUCUCCUUAAUUAAACACACUUGAUUUAGGUCAUCAGCUCAUUAGUAGAAUCUCCAAGACCUGAAGUGGGUUUGACAGAAAAAGGAGACAAGCUUGGGCAGGCCGGAACACAGCAAGCAAACAUCAAGCCGUCAGCGAGCAUCUGUUGGGCUAGUAGACUUUUUGUUGUUGUUUUUGUUGUGUUCUACACGUUUGCAGUCGUCAGGCUCAAAAUGGCGUUUGGCUUCUGUUUCCAUGGUGUCACACUGGGUAGCUCUGCCCAUAGUGAAUCAUCAUUGGUCCAAGAUCCUGCACCUCAUAGAUCUACAGAUCUCGGUUUCAGAGAAAGGACAGAAAACAUGUUAACCUUUGUAUAUCUUCAAUGAAGCCCUAGCAUGCAAUUGUAAAGUAUGUCUAAUUUAAAUAAAAUAUCCGACCAUCACACACUUUUUAACAUAUGAUACUUGAACAUUGUUAAACAUGUUAGCAUGUGCAUAAAAACACAACAUUUUGUCUUUUGACUUCUAGCAUGGCUAGCUAAAAUAGUAGACUUUAAAUAAAAUCACAAGCUUGGCAUUUCUGCUUUUUAAACCUCCAAUAUGACCAAUUUGAAGUCCAUUACCACAGUUAAACUUUUCUGUCACAAAUACUAUUCAUAGACAAUUAGCUGUCCAUUAAACUAAUUAAUGUGCAUUAAAUUAACCAGAAUACUCCUAAUAAGAAGAUUAGAUCUUCAACUCAAAUCCAAGGAUGUGUUUUCGUACCCACACACAAAGAAGUAGACUGUCAGAGAAGGAGAGAAGAGAGUUCAUACUGUUUGAGCCUCUGUGUGUGCACACAUAUACUCUGAAAUAUUAGGUUGUUAGCAAGCACCAUUACGAAGUGAGAAAGGGAGGCGAACAGAGAGCCAUUCUUUCACGAGGAGGUGCCAUGUCCCAACCAUCACACUCCCGGCUCAUGAGGGCUCCAAUGGCACCUGAGGGGGAAUCUCAUGGCUGUCAUCCCAGAAAGCCUCCUGCACUGAUGCAGGCCUGCCAUCUGCUCUCCAUAUGAGAUAAAAAUGAGGAAUUGUCUUCGAAAAGCCAUCUUUUUCUCUUCUUCAACUCACCAACUGAAAAAUCGUUAUUGCUACGAUAUUCUGGAAACAAGAACAGGAAGCCACAUCAUUAGUUUCUGGUUGACUAACGUAGUGGGUAAUUACCUUAA